GACGAACGCUGGCGGCGCGCCUAACACAUGCAAGUCGAACGAGCGAGAGAGAGCUUGCUUUCUCGAGCGAGUGGCGAACGGGUGAGUAACGCGUGAGGAACCUGCCUCAAAGAGGGGGACAACAGUUGGAAACGACUGCUAAUACCGCAUAAGCCCACAGGUCGGAAUCGACCAGAGGGAAAAGGAGCAAUCCGCUUUAAGAUGGCCUCGCGUCCGAUUAGCUAGUUGGUGAGGUAAUGGCCCACCAAGGCAACGAUCGGUAGCCGGACUGAGAGGUUGAACGGCCACAUUGGGACUGAGACACGGCCCAGACUCCUACGGGAGGCAGCAGUGGGGAAUAUUGCACAAUGGGGGAAACCCUGAUGCAGCGACGCCGCGUGGAGGAAGAAGGUCUUCGGAUUGUAAACUCCUGUUGUUGAGGAAGAUAAUGACGGUACUCAACAAGGAAGUGACGGCUAACUACGUGCCAGCAGCCGCGGUAAAACGUAGGUCACAAGCGUUGUCCGGAAUUACUGGGUGUAAAGGGAGCGCAGGCGGGAAGACAAGUUGGAAGUGAAAUCUAUGGGCUCAACCCAUAAACUGCUUUCAAAACUGUUUUUCUUGAGUAGUGCAGAGGUAGGCGGAAUUCCCGGUGUAGCGGUGGAAUGCGUAGAUAUCGGGAGGAACACCAGUGGCGAAGGCGGCCUACUGGGCACCAACUGACGCUGAGGCUCGAAAGUGUGGGUAGCAAACAGGAUUAGAUACCCUGGUAGUCCACACCGUAAACGAUGAUUACUAGGUGUUGGAGGAUUGACCCCUUCAGUGCCGCAGUUAACACAAUAAGUAAUCCACCUGGGGAGUACGACCGCAAGGUUGAAACUCAAAGGAAUUGACGGGGGCCCGCACAAGCAGUGGAGUAUGUGGUUUAAUUCGACGCAACGCGAAGAACCUUACCAAGUCUUGACAUCCUGCGACGCACAUAGAAAUAUGUGUUUCCUUCGGGACGCAGAGACAGGUGGUGCAUGGUUGUCGUCAGCUCGUGUCGUGAGAUGUUGGGUUAAGUCCCGCAACGAGCGCAACCCUUACUGUCAGUUACUACGCAAGAGGACUCUGGCAGGACUGCCGUUGACAAAACGGAGGAAGGUGGGGAUGACGUCAAAUCAUCAUGCCCUUUAUGACUUGGGCUACACACGUACUACAAUGGCGUUAAACAAAGAGAAGCAAGACCGCGAGGUGGAGCAAAACUCAGAAACAACGUCCCAGUUCGGACUGCGGGCUGCAACUCGCCUGCACGAAGUCGGAAUUGCUAGUAAUCGUGGAUCAGCAUGCCACGGUGAAUACGUUCCCGGGCCUU
Molecule: ribosomal RNA, 1333 nt
Filed under: uncultured bacterium
Lineage: Bacteria
Description: bacterial SSU rRNA
Rfam family: Bacterial small subunit ribosomal RNA
Source: RNAcentral